AUUGUACUCCCUCCGUCCCAAAGUUCUUGUUUUAGAUUAGUCUAGAUACGGAUGUAUCUAAUACUAAAACGUGACUUGAUACAUCCGUAUUUAAACAAAUCUAAGACAAAAAAUUUGGGACAGAGGAAGUACCUU
Molecule: non-coding RNA, 135 nt
Organism: Triticum aestivum (bread wheat)
Lineage: Eukaryota; Viridiplantae; Streptophyta; Magnoliopsida; Poales; Poaceae
Source: Rfam